UUGAAGCUUUGAGAGAAGAUAAAAACCAGAAACUAGGAUUUCUAUAAGAAGCCCUAGCGAUGGCGGAAGAAUCAUCAUCACCAUCUGUUAUUCUUCAGUUUGCUCCAGUCCAAAGUGCUGUUGAUGAUGGAUUAAUCUCCGGUCUCAGUCACUGGUAUAAAGUUAAAUUCUUAAACAGUUCUCUCCCUUUCUUCGUUAAUCGUUAUGAUGAUAUGUAUUUGUGUGGUUGGCAUGGAGUCGGAGAUGGGUUUGUGCGAUUUGGAGUCUGCCAAGGGUUUGAGGAGAACACACUCAUUUCAGUCGUGGUAACAUCAGAUCAUGCACACAACGUGUUUGAGGAAAUGCCUGAGAGACCAGUUGAAGAACACAGAUCGUGGACAGAGUUUGGGUGGAGAAAGUACUGAUGUUUGUUCUCUAUCAUGCCUUAUGGUUUUGUGAUUUUGCAUUCAUCUAACUUCUGAGUUUCUCUUUCUAAGUCAUUCAUGCAUCUCUUAAUGUUGUCCAUUGGCAGAGCUGUAAGAGGGAAAUAAUGCUGCGGUUUUUUAGUGGUGAGGAACGUACGAUUGUUUUUUAAUGUAAGAAUCUUCUUUCAUUUUAUUGUAUGUUUGGGUGCAGCUGAUUGUGUUGGGUGGAUGCGUGAUAUCGCAACUUGAAUGGAAAUCAAUUCAUACUUUCCUUAUUAAUGGCUCUAAUCUGAGUUCAAUUGUAAGGAAAAUUUCUACUGUUUUGUGCUUUCUCAAAUGUGAGGCAUCUGAAAAUGUUAUCAUCCAUGGACAAUAUCUUAUGUUUACAGCUUUGAGGGUCUUUGAUUGAGGAGGGAUGUUUUAAAGUACGAUUACUACAUUGGUGCUCGGCCAUUAGCAGGAAGACUCACCCGAGUACAUUCACCAAUUUAGUUGCAAAAGUCCCAUGUCUUCUCAUCCGCCAUUCAAGGAGGCUCCUCUUGGUAAUAUUUCCACAAUUGCACUCGGUGACACAGAUUCACAAAUGCCGUAUAUUGAUAUCAGUGUCAAUUGGAUGUUGGUAAGAAAUAAGGAUGGCUCUGCAAAUAUGCGAAACCAUUCUCUCAGGACAUAAGUGGAGUCUGGUGGUAAAAAUAUCCAACUGAUGAUUUUCUUUUAACAUGCACUAUAUAACUACGAAGUUUGUAGUCUUUUGCAUCUUUCCCCUGCAGUGAUGUUUGUGCAGUCCAUGUGAGGGAGUAGUGUUCAUACCUAUUUCGCUUUUUGGAAAACAGGAUGACUGGGAAGACUCCAUGGCUGCCUUUUGGUUUGGCAUCUCUUUUAUGUCAUCCUUGGAGGCAGAAAUGUACGUGGUAUGAUUCAUGUUUUCCUGCCAUUCAAUAAAUUAAUCAUGUUUCUUAGACAUAGCUAGGAAGGUUGGAGUUUUAGCCACAUGAAGAAUCCAUCACAAAUGAUUAAACACAGUCAAACUUAUGGAGAUGGUAUCGCUUAAAAAAUUGGGUCCAUAUCAAUUCACUUAUCAACAGGGGAUAAAGAACCAGAGGUUAAAGUGGAUGAUGUAAGAUGUAAUACGAAUUGUGGCUGUGAAUAGUGACGACACUGAUUCCAGGUAGUUUCAUCACAGAUGUCGUUUGUUGCUAUAAUACAACAUGCUGCUACAGCUGUCAGCAAAAACACUUCUGCUUUAGUGUAGUACUUUUGUUCCUUCUCUUAUUCUUGCUUUAUUUUCUGUUCAUCUUGCACCAUUGAGUCAGUAGAGGGUCUACUACAAUGACAUCUACCAUUGCAAUGGCAGAAGGAACAACUGUGGAAGUCUCUCAGGAGGAAAAGAAGUAAAGUCAUUAACAGUUUCAGGGUUGGUAGGGGUUAUCAUAUACUUAGCCCUCCGUAUAAGGGAUCUAAAUUUCUGAUUUUUUGUGUUCGUGAGCGACAUAGGAUUUUGUCUUUAUACUCUUAUUGCUACCCUUGGGGAUCUUUAUGUUUUUUUUUUGGCAGUGUUAGAGCUUUGAUGCAAAAGAAAGAGGAUGACUUUUCAAAAA
This is an RNA transcript of Papaver somniferum (opium poppy), 2002 nucleotides long. RefSeq lists it as uncharacterized. The record is from RefSeq and is a predicted model, not a curated record. Lineage: Eukaryota; Viridiplantae; Streptophyta; Magnoliopsida; Ranunculales; Papaveraceae. The transcript is spliced from 4 exons.